GGGAGCCCUCUGGGGAUGGGCAAGGCCUUCCAGGACAGGCUCGGUUCUGGUCCCCUGCUUUUUGAGGUUGGGUUAAAAUGCCGACCAUGGCAGAGGGGUUACAACUCAGGUUCCCACACCUCGCUUUUCACAGCCUCCGAGGGCAGCAGUGCACAUGGGGGAGACAUCUCCCACGAGGCCAAGGCCUCCAGUGCUCACCGAUGCCCUCUGUGAAGUUGGGGUAGAACUCGUCAGUGAAAAGGGGCUCGGGCAGCUCACGGAAGUACAGCUUCAGCAUGCCUGCGAUGGCGUUCACGUCCAUCUCGCUCAUCAUCACCGACACGUCCUUGUUAUCUGGAAAGAGCAUGGAAAUGCAGCGGCCUCCUUGAAGAUCCUGAUAAAUGAAGAAAAGACACAGAGAAGGAUGUGACAUGCCUGGGCCAUGGAGCACUCUGAGAUCUCAUCGCGGACACCACUGCCCACACCUCCAUCCCGUCCUGCGCAGGCCGACACUCACUGACGUUGAAGCCUGCCUUCAGUGCCUGGAUGUCCGUGGCCACCCCAGACAUGCGGUAGAUGCCCACCUCCUCCAUGCCUCGGCGCUCGAUCUCCUCCACACACUGGCGCACGAUGUAGGGCACCUUGGACCUCUCUCUCCUGCGGGAGGAGGGAAUGUUCUCAGUGUCCUAACAGCCCUGCUUGGGCCAUAACACAGGAGACCUGCUCCCUAUGUGCACACCCGGAGGUGGGGUGAGGACGGUGACGAAGGUACCCAGGUCUGGGGCUGCACACAGAGCCUUCUGCAUGCCUGUCCUCCCUCUGCAAGCUCUGUCCUCAUGGCAUGUACUUUCUCAGGAACCUUUCAAGCGGCCAGAACCCCUGCGAAUCACACAUGACCUUUGCGGGAAGGUCAGGAGGCCUGUCUAAGUCAAGUCAGCACGGGAAGGGCAUCUGACAGAUUCCAGGCCUGGGGUUAGCAGCCUGUGCCCCCGUCUGGGAGGUCAGACCCGGUGUUGGUCCUGCCACCCACGUGCUGUGUGAGAGGAGAAUCCCUGACCCCUGCCCUGGGCCUGGGCCUUAACACACAUCCGACGAAUGAAUGAAGGGUUGCCUCAGCACCGGUGCUCCAAGUCCUGCGAUGCUAAGUGCUUUUCUCCUCUGAGUCUUAGCAAUGGACAAUUCCAAUACCUCCACACAGGACACUAGAGUAAGAAUCCUUCACAGUUAGAACGCAGUGCUGUGCGGAGGCCUUAACUUGAGUUCUGUUUUGCACCUGGAUUUACCAGCACAUCAAAGCUGCUUCGCAAGCCCCCUCAUUAGCAGGGCUUAUCUGGGGGAGCUGCUGAUGGAGUCCUCGCUGCUCAUGCCCACAGCCCUCCCAGAGUGCUAUGCGAGUGGGGGUGGGGCGUGGUGUUUAGACACAGAUAGGAGUCCAGGGUAUGACUGAUGGAGGCCCCGGCCCACGUGACCAGCAAGGUCAGAGGCCCAGCCAGAUUCCAUCCUAGGGAGGCAAAUGAAUUCUCAGAGGAAGUGGUCUAUGUCUGCAUGAACUGCUCUCAAACCAACAAACAGGCUUCUCUUGGCAACUGACUCGUGACAAAGGGGCAGGGGUUACAACCAUUCAACAGGAAUCUGGGACCGUGACUAAUUCCAAGCAAGGGCAGAAAACCCUGCACUUGGGCAGUUCCUGGAGCCAGCCUACUGCUUCCAAGCAAGGUGGCAAGGACAUUCCUGAGCUGGUUUGCAGGAAACACAGGAGGUAGCUGAAGACGCCGUGUUCCCUGGGGCCUGACCUCACCGUGCAGUGGCCACGCACAGAGAGGAGAGACCCACACAUGCUCUUUUCUGCAGAAACAGCUGAAGGGACAGGCACCCUCAGUGCGUGAGCCCAAGCCCCUCCCCACUCACUUGGUGACCACAGCAAUCUUGACUCCGAAGACCCCUGUCUGUUUUCGGGACGGCAUCCUCUUCAAGCUGAACUUCCUGCUGUUGAACUUGACCGAGAGCUUUACUUCGAUCUACAGUGGGGAGAAGGGGCACAGUCCUCUAAUCCUUCUGGUCCUCAUAGCCCAAGGUCCCAAGGACCCCUGGGAGUCUCAUCAAAUAUUUCCACCCCCAAGGCAUGCAGAGGUCUCAGCAUGAGGUGGAGCCGCCCCUCGGGGAAGCCCCUAGUCUACUUCAGCAAGAGCCAGGAUUGUUGAAGAUGAUGUAAACGACUGGUUUCUGCAGAAGCACCUCCUAAAAUCCCCGCUGCUUCUCUUGCUUGCUUACUUUUUUUUAAGAUAUGGGAUCUUGCAAUGUUGCCCAGGCUGUAAUCAAACUCUUGGGCUCCAGUGAUUCUCCUGGUUCAGCCUCCAGAGUAGCUGAGAUUAUAGUGUACUGUGACCAGCUUUCUCUUAGUAACAAUUAAAAAUUAAGUAGGAAAGACAGAAU
Long non-coding RNA from Homo sapiens (human), 2412 nucleotides. The record is from Ensembl. NCBI's taxonomy places the organism in Eukaryota, Metazoa, Chordata, Mammalia, Primates, Hominidae.